GCUGGCGGCUCCUCGUGGCGUGGUCCUCGAGGUGGCGGCGGCUAGGGUGCCUUGGCCCUGCACCGGGAGCUCUGCCCCGCGGCCCCAGUGAGCACGUGAAGCUGGGCGAGGCACAGAAGGAAACGACACAGUGCAACCACCAGAGCGAAGCUGUGUGGACUCUUCAGAGGGCUUACUUCGCCAGCAGGAUCGUGUCUGAAGGUGCAGGACUCGACUUAAAAGAUAAAGCAGAGACCGCAGCUAAGAACCAGCUGAUCUGCGCCCAGGCCUGUCCUCUCUCUCUGUCACGUCCCGGCCCAAACGAGAUCACUGGUUUGAGAUGAAAGAGGUACGGACUGAAUAUCUGUGUCCCCCAAAACCAGGGGGACGGUGUCAGGAGGUGGGCGGGGGGAGGUGAUGAGUCUUGGGGGUGGAGCCCCCAGGACGGGGUUGGUGUCCUUACAGGGGAGACACCCCCCCAGGAAACGGGAAGCAAGCGGCCUCCAGAUGCCCGUCUCCUGAUGCCCUCAGCUGGGACGUCCAGCCCCAGACCUGGGAGACGCACGUGUCUGUGGUGUUUAAGUCCAGCCCAGGGAGGUCAAGGUCACGGGGCCGUCAAGAGGCUGUAAACAUGCACGAACACACGACAGAAGGCAGUGCGGGGGCUGCUCAACCAGCUCUGGACAUACGCGCAGCUAAGGGACAGUAUGUACGCACUGCUGGCGCCGUGGCACAAGGCGGUGUGUCACCUUCACUAAUUUUUUCGCCCCGUCGAGAAAGCAGUGCUGCUCUUUCUUCUCUUGCGCCAGCCACGCCUGACGCCAGUGACUCCACGGGCUGUGGCCCUCGUCCAGAGGAGGCUCUCACAAAGCCGGAAACGCGCGAGGCGGGGGCUGGGCGUGUGACCCCUGCCUGAGGACACCUUAUCAGCGCGUGAGGCAAGCUCGAAUCACAGUGCCACCUCCGCCACGUGAAGGAUGCCUGGGUUUUGUGCAACUCCCGCGCUCGCAGCGUCUCUGGGUCUUUACCGCGGUCAGAGGUUUCCGGACGGUCUCCCGUUCCUGCCCCCGAGACGCGUUCUCACUAUUGUGCCUGACCGGGAACACAGCACAAUGAACGUUUUCCAAAAAGGCAGAGACGUGGGAGAUGCCUUUUCAUGUCACAGACUUCUUAGUGUUCCUUUCAGGAAGUGGAGUCCAGCCAGGUGACAAGAAUUCAAGGAAAGGAAAUGGGUCCGGGAAGGGAGGGGAGCCUGGGGAGCAGGAGCCACGGAGGCGCCUGGCCCUCGCAGCCUCUGUCUCCCAUCGGGUGGUACGUGGUCACUGCAGGCAAGGAGAGUCCCCAGGCUGUCCCCUGGGGUCCUGCGAAGACCAAAGCACAGGUGCGCUUCAGAUACACCCAAACGACUGCGCCGGCCCGGGCUCCGAGCUCACACACGGGCUGAAGCUUGUCUGAAGCUGGUCGUGAUGCUGAACAGGAGGUGAGCAGAAGGCCGCCUGUGGCCCAGGCUUCCUGGGAGGGAGCCGCUGGCUUUGCCGUCACUGGUUCUGGGAACCGCAGCCAGGAAGCUCAUCACUGUGCUGCCUUUGGAAGGAGUUUCAGUGGGACGCCCUCUCCAGGUUGAUCACAGCCUCCUCAGGUCCGAAGCAGGGACGCACGCCCCUCCCUGGACGGAGGCGGCUCCCCCCCCCAGCCCCACCUCUGCUGCUGCCCCGCCGGGGACCUGCGGGCUCCUGCCUCUGGGUCAGAGCUUCCUGCACUGCGCGGCCGGACCCACCAGCGUCUGUGCCCCAAACGCCUGUUUACUCCUGAACCAGUGAGCCAGUGAAUGAAC
This is a non-coding RNA of Sus scrofa (pig), 1813 nucleotides long. NCBI's taxonomy places the organism in Eukaryota, Metazoa, Chordata, Mammalia, Artiodactyla, Suidae. The record is from RefSeq and is a predicted model, not a curated record.